CUAGCCAGCCAGCCAGCCAUGGUGUCCUCCUCGGCGUCCGGCGGCAACGGGUGCACGGCGGCGGCGGUGCGGGAGGUGGCGACGGCGCGGUUCGCGCGGCAGGUGGUGCUGGGGCGCUGGUUCAUGGUGUUCGCCUGCCUGCUCAUCCUCUCCGCGUCGGGGGCCACCUACAUCUUCGGCCUCUACUCCAAGGUGCUCAAGUCGGCGCUGGGCUACGACCAGCAGACCCUCAACACCUUCGCCUUCUUCAAGGACCUAGGCGCCAACGUCGGCGUCCUCUCCGGCCUCAUCAACGAGGUCACGCCGCCCUGGGUCGUGCUCGCCAUCGGCGCCGCCAUGAACCUCGUGGGGUACCUCAUGAUAUACCUCGCCAUCGACGGCCGCACGGCGCGCCCGCCGGUGUGGCUCAUGUGCGUCUACAUCUGCGUCGGCGCCAACUCGCAGUCCUUCACCAACACCGGCGCGCUCGUCACCUGCGUCAAGAACUUCCCGGAGAGCCGCGGCGCCGUGCUGGGCCUGCUCAAGGGCUUCGUCGGGCUCAGCGGCGCCAUCUUCACCCAGCUCUACAUCGCCAUCUACGGCGACGACGCCAAGUCGCUCGUGCUGCUCGUCGCAUGGCUCCCCGCCGCCGUCUGCAUCGUCUUCGUCCACACCGUGCGCAUCAUGCCGCACCGCCCCGUCCGGCGCUGCGGCGAGGAGGAGACAGCCGCCACCACCAGCGACCCCUUCUACUGCUUCCUCUACAUCUCCAUGGCGCUCGCCACCUACCUGCUCGUCAUGAUCGUGGUGCAGAACCAGCUGGACCUCUCGCACCCGGCCCUCGUCGUGUCCGCCACCGCGCUCAUGCUCAUCCUCCUCCUCCCCCUCGCCGUCGUCGUCAAGCAGGAGUACAGGAUCAAGAGGGAGCUCGAGGAGUCCCUCCUCGUGACCCCGACGGUCACCGUCCAGAAGCCAGCUGCGCUCCAAAUGGCCGCCAAAACAGAGACAGAAACAGAGGACGCGACGACGUCGGCGGGAACGUUGGCUUCGCCGGCACGGCCGCCGUCUUCGAGCAGCUGCUUCGGGUCGUCCUGCUUGAAAGAGAUGUUCAACCCGCCGGCGCAGGGGGAGGACUACACGAUCCUGCAGGCGCUGGUGAGCGUGGACAUGCUGGUGCUGUUCCUGGCGACCAUCUGCGGCGUGGGGGGCACGCUGACGGCGAUCGACAACAUGGGCCAGAUCGGGCAGUCCCUGGGCUACCCGCCCAAGAGCAUCAAGACCUUCAUCUCCCUCAUCAGCAUCUGGAACUACGCCGGCCGGGUCACCGCCGGCUUCGCGUCCGAGGCGGUGCUGGCGCGCUACAAGUUCCCGCGCCCGCUCAUGCUCACGCUCGUCCUCCUCCUCGCCUGCGUCGGCCACCUCCUCAUCGCCUUCGGCGUGCCGCAGUCGCUCUACGCCGCCUCCGUCGUCAUCGGAUUCUGCUUCGGCGCGCAGUGGCCGCUGCUCUUCGCCAUCAUCUCCGAGCUCUUCGGACUCAAGUACUACUCCACGCUCUACAACUUCGGCUCCGUCGCCAGCCCCAUCGGCGCCUACGCGCUCAACGUGCGCGUCGCGGGCUACCUCUACGACGUGGAGGCCGCCAGGCAGCACGGCGGCACGCUGGACGGCGCCGGCGACAAGAGCUGCGUCGGCGUGCAGUGCUUCAAGCUCGCCUUCCUCAUCAUCACGGCCGUCACCGUCGCCGGCGCGCUCGUCUCGCUCCUGCUCGUCUGGCGCACCCGCAACUUCUACCGCAGCGACAUCUACGCCAAGUUCAGGGACGCCGCCCCCGCCGACGGCGAGCCACGGAAGCAGGCCGAGUCAAGCGCGGUCAACGGGAGUAGUGAGUAG
This 1869-nucleotide ribosomal RNA is filed under the name Triticum aestivum (bread wheat). RNAcentral describes it as "partial small subunit ribosomal RNA". Lineage: Eukaryota; Viridiplantae; Streptophyta; Magnoliopsida; Poales; Poaceae. The record is from RNAcentral.